GGAUAGUACUUUACUUAACAUGGGAUUUUCAUGGGGUAUUAUGCUAUUUCCUAAAAUUUAGUUAAUUUUCUAGUGAAGUGAAGAUCCAAUUACUUCUUUCUUGGGAGUUCUGAGGUGCCGAAUUGAAUAUACUGGACUUGCAGCCAAAUUUUCAUGAGUUGUUUUUAUAUUGUAUGAUCUCAAGCAUUCUAGCUUGAAACGGUUACAGAAAAUAAGUGCUGUAAAUACUAGUUUAUUAAACUGCAUUUAGACAUUAAGGUAUCUGAAUUUAUAUUUAGCAAUUUGUACAAAGAUCCAACAAGGAUCAGAUGACCAAUGAUAGAAGAUGAACAUGGGAUGUUUAGGAGGUGGCUUGAAGUCAGAAAAAGGGAGGGAUCAGGGAGGAGUGUUGGGGAGCAACUCUGUGAAGAUAGGAAAAGAUAAUAAAUGAGCCUGGUGACAUGAAAGCAGGUGCUGCUUGGCUAGCAUGUGUCCGAGUCCUGGGCUUCCUCACUGCAGUCUGUUCUAUGUUCCUGUUAAAUCCUACUUCUAACUCUCUCUCACAUGUGUGCGUGUGUGUGUCUGUGUCUCUGUGUGGGUCUGUGUGUCUGUGUGUUCAGCCUCCCUGUUCCCUGUCGAGAAGGAACUGAAAUAGCCUCACAUGAACAUGCCUGGGACAGAAGAACUCUCACAGGUCCUGCAGUCUACCAAAUUCACCUACCUUAGAAAUCUUGCCUGUUGACACCCUGAAUCUCUAUAGAAACAGCCACUAUGCAUUCCAGGAACAAUCCUAUGUCACAUCCUUGGCUGUGUUAUACUUGCUCUGAAAUAUCAUCACCAUCAGAAUAUGGGCAUGGUCUGGAAACCUACAAAUGUAAGAAGAUAUGUUCCCUCUUCUCUCUUUGGACAGGGACCACACAAUGGGUGAUACCACAAAUGCUGCAUGAUGGACUAUACUAUGUACUAAAGUUAAUGGAUUUUAUGAGCAUGACAAUGUUACAUUUAUUUGAGCACUUUCAAUGAACAAGUUAAUUCUUAACUCAUUUGUCAGCUAUCUAAUUUCUGGCAAUCUCCUGAGCAAGCUACUUUAGUGGAUUUAAUACAUUUGUAAAACAAAUCAAUCAUAGAUUGGGCAUAGAAAUUUGGCUACAUUUAUAAUGACAAGUGGCCAUUGAAGAUGGCCUACGCACUGAUUCUGUGGUAAUGCCUGCUAAAUCUAUAGAGCUUGUUAAUGUUUGACAAGUUACUUUAUGUACUUAUGGUUUAGUGUUUAAUGAUGAUUAAUCCCAUAGUAAAAGAGUAGUCUCAGUUUUUGACGGUUAUUGCAGAACAUGUGGAAAAUAAAAAAUGUCAAGUAAAAUGUUCA
Molecule: long non-coding RNA, 1345 nt
Filed under: Anser brachyrhynchus (Pink-footed goose)
Lineage: Eukaryota; Metazoa; Chordata; Aves; Anseriformes; Anatidae
Description: lncRNA (ENSABRG00000010118.1)
Source: RNAcentral